UCUUCGGAGAGUUUGAUCCUGGCUCAGGAUGAACGCUGGCGGCGUGCCUAAUACAUGCAAGUCGAGCGAACUGAUUAGAAGCUUGCUUCUAAGACGUUAGCGGCGGACGGGUGAGUAACAC
RNAcentral lists this ribosomal RNA (121 nucleotides) under Priestia megaterium. Its description in RNAcentral is "partial 16S ribosomal RNA". It matches the Rfam family "Bacterial small subunit ribosomal RNA", at positions 1 to 116 of the family's 1533-position model. The record is from RNAcentral. Lineage: Bacteria; Bacillati; Bacillota; Bacilli; Caryophanales; Bacillaceae.